GACGAACGCUGGCGGCGUGCUUAACACAUGCAAGUCGAGCGGUAAGGCCCUUUCGGGGUACACGAGCGGCGAACGGGUGAGUAACACGUGGGUGACCUGCCCUCAGCUCUGGGAUAAGCCUGGGAAACCGGGUCUAAUACUGGAUAUGACUCCAUGACGCAUGUUGUGGGGUGGAAAGCCUUGUGCGGCUGAGGAUGGGCCCGCGGCCUAUCAGCUUGUUGGUGGGGUGAUGGCCUACCAAGGCGACGACGGUAGCCGGCCUGAGAGGCGACCGGCCACACUGGGACUGAGACACGGCCCAGAC
This 304-nucleotide ribosomal RNA is filed under the name uncultured bacterium. Its description in RNAcentral is "bacterial SSU rRNA". It matches the Rfam family "Bacterial small subunit ribosomal RNA", at positions 28 to 336 of the family's 1533-position model. The record is from RNAcentral.